Molecule: ribosomal RNA, 450 nt
Filed under: uncultured bacterium
Lineage: Bacteria
Description: partial 16S ribosomal RNA
Rfam family: Bacterial small subunit ribosomal RNA
Source: RNAcentral
GUGGGGAAUCUUCCGCAAUGGACGAAAGUCUGACGGAGCAACGCCGCGUGAGUGAUGAAGGUCUUCGGAUUGUAAAGCUCUGUUAAUCGGGACGAAAGAGCCUAGUGUGAAUAAUGCUAGGAAGUGACGGUACCGGAAUAGAAAGCCACGGCUAACUACGUGCCAGCAGCCGCGGUAAUACGUAGGUGGCAAGCGUUGUCCGGAAUUAUUGGGCGUAAAGCGCGCGCAGGCGGAUCUGCCAGUCUGUCUUAAAAGUUCGGGGCUUAACCCCGUGAUGGGAUGGAAACUACAGAUCUAGAGUAUCGGAGAGGAAAGUGGAAUUCCUAGUGUAGCGGUGAAAUGCGUAGAUAUUAGGAAGAACACCAGUGGCGAAGGCGACUUUCUGGACGAAAACUGACGCUGAGGCGCGAAAGCCAGGGGAGCGAACGGGAUUAGAUACCCCAGUAGUCC